UGCGGAAGAUCUCGGUUCA
This 19-nucleotide small nuclear RNA is filed under the name Arabidopsis thaliana (thale cress). RNAcentral's name for it is "snRNA_00211". Lineage: Eukaryota; Viridiplantae; Streptophyta; Magnoliopsida; Brassicales; Brassicaceae. The record is from RNAcentral.